This 429-nucleotide ribosomal RNA is filed under the name Acidobacteriota bacterium. RNAcentral's name for it is "Acidobacteria bacterium partial 16S ribosomal RNA". It matches the Rfam family "Bacterial small subunit ribosomal RNA", at positions 355 to 776 of the family's 1533-position model. The record is from RNAcentral. Lineage: Bacteria; Pseudomonadati; Acidobacteriota.
UGGGGAAUUUUGGACAAUGGGGGAAACCCUGAUCCAGCCAUCCCGCGUGUGCGAUGAAGGCCUUCGGGUUGUAAAGCACUUUUGGCAGGAAAGAAACGUCAUGGGUUAAUACCCCGUGAAACUGACGGUACCUGCAGAAUAAGCACCGGCUAACUACGUGCCAGCAGCCGCGGUAAUACGUAGGGUGCAAGCGUUAAUCGGAAUUACUGGGCGUAAAGCGUGCGCAGGCGGUUCGGAAAGAAAGAUGUGAAAUCCCAGAGCUCAACUUUGGAAAUGCAUUUUUAACUACCGGGCUAGAGUGUGUCAGAGGGAGGUGGAAUUCCGCGUGUAGCAGUGAAAUGCGUAGAUAUGCGGAGGAACACCGAUGGCGAAGGCAGCCUCCUGGGAUAACACUGACGCUCAUGCACGAAAGCGUGGGGAGCAAACAGG